RNAcentral lists this unclassified non-coding RNA (36 nucleotides) under Sorangium cellulosum So ce56. RNAcentral describes it as "sce_HCV_SLIV_6". Lineage: Bacteria; Pseudomonadati; Myxococcota; Polyangiales; Polyangiaceae. The record is from RNAcentral.
GAUCGACCGCCCCUGCCCUCGCCUUCUCUUCUUCUC